Seriola aureovittata is the source of this 832-nucleotide long non-coding RNA. RefSeq lists it as uncharacterized. The record is from RefSeq and is a predicted model, not a curated record. The transcript has 2 exons. Lineage: Eukaryota; Metazoa; Chordata; Actinopteri; Carangiformes; Carangidae.
UAAAAUAGAUUUACAUGCUUUAAUGUUUUUUUUUCUGUACACUUUAUACUGUACUCUAUUCAACCUCUCUUUGAAAUGCUCUGUUAGAGCCUCAGGGCACUUUAAGGGAAAAACAAACGAUUGUGGCGGCUUCGGUUCUGCCUUAUCGUUUUGAGCAAGAGUUGAACCAGAAGAUGAUAAACCUGAUCCACCUUCACAAGCUGGACUGGUGCAGAAAACAAGCGUCCUGCAAUCGGAAGGAGGGAGAAAUAUGAAGAGUGCUGCUAAUCAAAACGUUGGAUACUGGGACCACUGGGGCUGAACUUUUUCUCUGAGGACAUCAUGCACAUGUUUACAAAACACUUGAGGAUCAGGUUGUCUCCCAUGACGCUCGGCAACGAAUACAUUAGCAGUUUAUUUUGAAAACUCUGUUUCCCACACAUCUUUAGACAUCACAUUCUCUGCAUUGUUCAAAAUGUAAGUUGGCCUUUUUUAUUUCCUCACUUUUAAAUCCAAAUGUCUUUGCCAUUAGUGAGUGGAGUGUCAACUCUGACAACCACAUUAAAGACAGUACAUUUAUACAAAACUUGAAAAUGUGGGAUUGGUGGCUUCUGCACAAACUGAAGCUAAACUGUGUUGCUGGCUUGAAUUUGUAUGAAGAAGCAGCUGAAAUAGUAUUAAGAGAUGGAAAAAAAAAAAAGGAAACUGUAACGGAAGCAGUGAAAAAAUUUUAUGUUGAGAUAGCAAAACAUUUUGUGUUCAGCAUAACUUCCUUUUUGUUAUUUUGAGUUUUUUUCCAUUUCACUGGACAGGAAAGUGACUACUUGUUUAAUAAACAUUAAAAAACUGAGAA